GCACAUCCCAGCAACGACCAACUUCUCUCAACAAACAUUAGCUACCAACAUUUUUACACCUUAAUUAAAUUAUUAGACUUUGUAUUAUGCAUGCCGAUUGUUGUCGUCGUCCAUCUGCCACAUUUGUCGCUACAACCGUCGAAUCAACAAGUGUAGAACUCGGCGAGUUCCUCAGUCGACCCCAAUUGCGUCGCCGCAUUCUCCAACAUCCAUAAUAAAUGCUCAAACAUGACAACCUCACAAGAAACCACCAGCACACCGUCAUCGUCAAACGAUGACUUAUCCACCAACUCUUGAAAUAGAGGGUGUGCUACGACAUCUAAGCUGACAUAAUACAGUCGUCGGGACUUACCGACAUAGACCGUGCGAAGGUCCUUGGAGUUGUUUUGGCCAAUAUUGGUACCAUCGCUCACGGUGGCAACCGACAUGGAGCUAGAGCUCCGACCGAGCUUGGUGAUGGAGGGCCAUCUUUUAAUGGCUGACUUGAGCUUGGUGAGAGUUCCGGCUUUGACCAUGGCUGGAAAUUGUAGAGAGAAAGAGAGAAAAAAUUAAAAAGAAGAGAAAAGUGUAGAGAGGCU
This 578-nucleotide unclassified non-coding RNA is filed under the name Hevea brasiliensis (rubber tree). Lineage: Eukaryota; Viridiplantae; Streptophyta; Magnoliopsida; Malpighiales; Euphorbiaceae. The record is from RNAcentral.